This is a long non-coding RNA of Oncorhynchus tshawytscha (Chinook salmon), 393 nucleotides long. NCBI's taxonomy places the organism in Eukaryota, Metazoa, Chordata, Actinopteri, Salmoniformes, Salmonidae. The record is from Ensembl.
ACCAGUCAGUCUCAGGUCAUGUCCCUCCCAGUCAGUCUCAGCUCGAGUCCCUCCCAGUCAGUCUCAGGUCGAGUCCCUCCCAGUCAGUCUCAGGUCGAGUCCCUCCCAGUCAGUCUCUGGUCAUGUCCCUCCCAGUCAGUCUCAGGUCAUGUCCCUCCCAGUCAGUCUCAGCUCGAGUCCCUCCCAGUCAGUCUCAGGUCAUGUCCCUCCCAGUCAGUGUCAGGUCGAGUCCCUGCCAGUCAGUCUCAGGUCGAGUCCCUGCCAGUCAGUCUCAGGUCGAGUCCCUGCCAGUCAGUCUCAGGUCGAGUCCCUCCCAGUCAGUCUCAGCUCGAGUCCAUACCAGUCAGUCUCAGAUCGACUCCGUACCAGUCAGUCUCAGGUCAUGUCCCUCCC